RNAcentral lists this transfer RNA (69 nucleotides) under Sinanodonta amurensis. RNAcentral's name for it is "tRNA-Lys". The record is from RNAcentral. Lineage: Eukaryota; Metazoa; Mollusca; Bivalvia; Unionida; Unionidae.
AUCCAUGAUGGCCGAGAAAUCCAGGCAUCGAGCUUUUAACUCGACCACAGUUAUUUAUACUUCAGGAUG